Molecule: long non-coding RNA, 1065 nt
Filed under: Setaria viridis
Lineage: Eukaryota; Viridiplantae; Streptophyta; Magnoliopsida; Poales; Poaceae
Description: long non-coding RNA (SVIR_LNC007094)
Source: RNAcentral
GUAUUUUUCAUUCAACACAUCCUUUAUGCCUCCAUUGUAAUCAUUGAUAGUUUUCCAAAACUCAUGACCAUUUUUGCAAGAAACAUAUGAUUGAAAGUACUAUCACUAAAAGAGGACAAAAUCACACUCUUGGCAAUAACAUCAUAUUGCAUGUCUUGUUGAUUAUUAUUUUCUUACCCUCAUUGGUGACUCUCCAAACAUUAAGACCAUUUUCCUGAAAAAUGCUUUCGUAAGCACUUUGCAUUGUUGGAAGCUCAUGUCAUCGAAACAUAGAGCCAGACCUAAAUUAUCAAUCCCUUCUUGGAUGACCUAACUUACUAGGCAAUGAAGCCUUACCAUUCCCAUCAGCCGAUUUCACAAUUUGCCAAUUGAAUUGGCUUUUCUUUGUUAAAGAUGUGAGCCCUGGCUUUGGUAGCACUUCAAAGGAAUUGGUGGCCAUUUAAUCUAAGAGGGGGUAGGGUGAAUUAGGCUUCACUAAUUGUAUGAAUAUAAACUAAACUAUAUUAUCUAAAUGAGCAUCUAAGGAUUAUCUUGUGUGGAAUUUCCCACCCACAAAGAGUUUUGCAACCUAGAGCCUAUCCUAGCAAAAGCUAAUCUAAGAAAAUAAAGGCACUCAAGUUGGACAUAUGAAAUGCACAAAUGUAAAUUAGUGGGUCAUAAAGAAUGCAAACUCAGAAUGGCGAUUUAUCCCGGUGUAUCGUUCGGCAAAAGGCACACAUAGUCCAUGCUGGAGCUCCUGAUCACCAAGUAUCUCAUUGUAAAUGUAUUGGGCUCACCACAAAGGCUCUUACCAAGAUAGAUGAGAAGCUUGGCACAAAGGUUUGUCUCACCACUACCUCUCUUCCGAUCACUUUGAUGCGUAUACACUACAGGACUUCUGCAUGACAUAGGGUCUUCUUGUCCCCCACACACGAUCAUCAUCGCUGCUCCAAAUCAAGUGGGAGGGUCGAAGACUUGCUGAUGAGCCACCACGGUCCUAAGGUGCCAACACACCAAACUUGCCAUGACGAAUCAGUCCUUGACCCAAACAUAAGAUAGCAACACUUUGCACUAACUCACCCUAGG